RNAcentral lists this long non-coding RNA (762 nucleotides) under Callithrix jacchus (white-tufted-ear marmoset). Its description in RNAcentral is "lncRNA (ENSCJAG00000084406.1)". The record is from RNAcentral. Lineage: Eukaryota; Metazoa; Chordata; Mammalia; Primates; Cebidae.
AGGGAAUGGAUUUAAGGACACACAGCAGGAGCUGGCUGGAUUCAUUUUAUUUUGGGGGUAGUUGGGGGAGGAAUAUCAUUUCUGAAAUGCCCAAGGAAUGAAGGGAGAGGAUAUGGAUUUCUUAAACAGUUUUUGCAAGAGGAGCGGUGUCUUGUUUUGCAGGUCCUGGCGAAGAGCACCUAAAACCCUGAGGAUUUCCUAAGUGAUAAGAGAGACAAAGGAAUUAAAUGUUGGAAGUCCUCUUGAUUAUCAAGACACACAAGUAACUCGGAAGAUCCAACAACAGGUCAUGUUUCACUUAGAUGUGAAGUAAGUUGCUUGAAAGAAAAACUUAAUCUUGCCAUGUGCACCUUCCAUAGCACUUACUUCGCUUUCAUAUGGAGAGAUUCCACUGUUGUCCUAAUAUCUUGCCCCAUCUGAAACAUACCUAGUGAUUGCUGUUUACUUGAAAGUUUGACCAGAUGCAGUGUCUAGUUGUUCAUGGAGAAAGACAAAGGUAAGGACUCUAUUAAGAAUAAUAUGUACAAGCUUAUUUGGUAUAACCCAACAAAAUAAAUCUUUUUCUAAGAAAAGCUAAUUAAAAACUGAUAUCAAUUGUAUUAACUAUUUCCAGUGAAGGAAGUUCUAGAUAGAGUAAGUACAUCAGAAUUGCUGAGAAUACAAGUAACUCAAUCACUACGUUAUAGCUACUUGUACUACACCAAAUGACAGACAUAGGCUUCCCUAAUAUCAUUUAAGUUUAAAGAUACAUGGGUAAAAACC